ACUUUGCUCAUGUUAGGAUGAGGUCCUCCUCCUGUUCCUAACAAGGCUGUAGGGGCACAUAAGGGCCGUUGUAAGGGCCUUUUCUCCCGUCCGGUCUUUAAGGAGCUGGGCGUUCGACUUUGCUCAUGUUAGGACGAGGUCCUCCUGUUCCUAACAAGGCUGUGGGGGCACAUAAGGGUCGUUGUAAGGCCUCUCCCCCCGUCUGGUCUUUAAGAAAUCGGGCCUUCGACUUUGCUCAUGUUAGGAUGAGGUCCUCCUCUUAUUCCUAACAUGCUUAAUUUCGUUUGUAUGAGGGAGUUACUUCCUGUCGUUAUAAGCUUAUGCCAAA
This 328-nucleotide long non-coding RNA is filed under the name Elaeis guineensis (African oil palm). RNAcentral describes it as "long non-coding RNA (EGUI_LNC058057)". Lineage: Eukaryota; Viridiplantae; Streptophyta; Magnoliopsida; Arecales; Arecaceae. The record is from RNAcentral.